GCCCCGCCCCUCCUCGAGCCGCGGCGGUCGGGGCCGCCCACGAAGGGGCUGCAUUUUUCAUCUGCAGCACGCUUUCUCUCAAGAAUCUCAAGCACACACAAGAAACCAGAGAGUAAAAUCACUGAGGCGUGAACACAUCCAGAGACCAAGGGCGUCACUGGCAGAAAAGCUUUUAGGCGGAUCCACGGCCCGAGAGCCACCCUGCCCAGAGACGCGGUUUCCUAGGAGCAGUUCACACGCGGCUCUGCAGCACCCACAAGCGGGGCCAGGGGCUGGUUUUCAUAGUUCACAGUCUGCAGGGAUCUUAACAAAAACAUGGCCGUGGUAAAAGUGCCUAGACCAGGCUUUCGUCACAACUCAUCAUGUUACUAGGUUAGGAUAAUAAAAAGGACUGUGAACUUCACAUCUGCCAUCUAUAAUAGAUUCUUAUUGUAGCAAUCUUGCACCAAGGGGAUUUCUUUAUUAACUCUGCCAAAUUUUCCAAAAUUACCAAAUGGAGAAAAGAGCUGGUCCCAUCUGUCACCAGGCACAACCAGUUUGGAACCAAAACUGCAGUGUCCCCAAGGCAUGCCUGUAGGUAAACAUGAGUCCAUACUGAUAAAUGAUCGAAUAAACAGGAGAGAAGAAACAAAUCUUCAAGAAGAAUAACAUGCACAGAUACUGCUCUCUCCAGGGGUUGGAGCUGAAACCUCCUCAACCCACAGAGUAUGGAAAGGGAAAAACAGGAACUUGACAGUGGAGAAAUCUGGCAGACACCACUGUGACCAGGUGGCCAAGGUCAGCACUGCCUGGGAUAGGUCGUGUGGUGGUUACAACCACCCAGUAGGAUGUGAUGAGAAAGGUGCUUGAGAAACACAUCAAACUCCAAUUGAGGGACAUUCUACAGACUACCUGGCCAGUACUCCUCAAAACUGUCAAGGUCAUGAGAAACAAGGGAAGUCUGAGAAACUGUCACAGGCAAGAGAACGCAAAGGAGAUGGGAUGACUAAAUGCAGUAUGUGCCUGGAUGGGACUCUGGGACAGAAAGCAGACAUUACGGAAAAACUGGUGAAAUCCAAAUCAAGGCUGGAUUUUAGUGAAUGGACACUAACAAUGUUGGUUUCUUAGUCAUGACAAAUGUACCAUGGGAAGAGAAGAGGUUACCAAUGGGGGAAACUAGGUGAGGGGCACACAUAAGCUCUCUGUACUAUCUCUGCCAUUUUUCUGUAAAUCAAAAAUUAGUCCAAAAUAAAAGUUUAUUGGAAAAGAAAAAAAAAGACAUAACA
Molecule: long non-coding RNA, 1265 nt
Filed under: Homo sapiens (human)
Lineage: Eukaryota; Metazoa; Chordata; Mammalia; Primates; Hominidae
Description: HSALNT0375447
Source: RNAcentral